RNAcentral lists this long non-coding RNA (234 nucleotides) under Gossypium barbadense (sea-island cotton). RNAcentral's name for it is "long non-coding RNA (GBAR_LNC015489)". Lineage: Eukaryota; Viridiplantae; Streptophyta; Magnoliopsida; Malvales; Malvaceae. The record is from RNAcentral.
UUCAAUACAUUCAUCAUACUUUCUCUGAUGACACCUGUUAAUAAAAUAAAAAUAAUUUACACUUUAUAUUAUUAUCAAUUAUAUAUAAUCUUUAUUUACCAGUAACAUUAGGGCAUGGUGCAACAUUACCGAAUUUUUGAGCUAUGUGCUCUUUAAAUCGUGUUAUUCCUCCUUUCACAACUUUACCACAAAGUUUACAUACGAUAUUUCCUUUCGCAUUUGGCACUGGAGUUC